This 429-nucleotide ribosomal RNA is filed under the name Actinomycetes bacterium. RNAcentral's name for it is "Actinobacteria bacterium partial 16S ribosomal RNA". It matches the Rfam family "Bacterial small subunit ribosomal RNA", at positions 355 to 776 of the family's 1533-position model. The record is from RNAcentral. Lineage: Bacteria; Bacillati; Actinomycetota; Actinomycetes.
UUGGGAAUCUUCCGCAAUGGGCGAAAGCCUGACGGAGCAACGCCGCGUGAGUGAUGAAGGUCUUCGGAUCGUAAAACUCUGUUAUUAGGGAAGAACAAAUGUGUAAGUAACUAUGCACGUCUUGACGGUACCUAAUCAGAAAGCCACGGCUAACUACGUGCCAGCAGCCGCGGUAAUACGUAGGUGGCAAGCGUUAUCCGGAAUUAUUGGGCGUAAAGCGCGCGUAGGCGGUUUUUUAAGUCUGAUGUGAAAGCCCACGGCUCAACCGUGGAGGGUCAUUGGAAACUGGAAAACUUGAGUGCAGAAGAGGAAAGUGGAAUUCCAUGUGUAGCGGUGAAAUGCGCAGAGAUAUGGAGGAACACCAGUGGCGAAGGCGACUUUCUGGUCUGUAACUGACGCUGAUGUGCGAAAGCGUGGGGAUCAAACAGG